GACGAACGCUGGCGGCGUGCUUAACACAUGCAAGUCGAACGGAAAGGCCCUGCUUGCAGGGUACUCGAGUGGCGAACGGGUGAGUAACACGUGGGUGAUCUGCCCUGCACUUCGGGAUAAGCCUGGGAAACUGGGUCUAAUACCUGAUAGGAGCCAUUUUUAGUGUGAUGGUUGGAAAGUUUUUUCGGUGUAGGAUGAGCUCGCGGCCUAUCAGCUUGUUGGUGGGGUAAUGGCCUACCAAGGCGGCGACGGGUAGCCGGCCUGAGAGGGUGGACGGCCACAUUGGGACUGAGAUACGGCCCAGACUCCUACGGGAGGCAGCAGUGGGGAAUAUUGCACAAUGGGCGCAAGCCUGAUGCAGCGACGCCGCGUGGGGGAUGACGGCCUUCGGGUUGUAAACUCCUUUCGCUAGGGACGAAGCUUUUUGUGACGGUACCUAGAUAAGAAGCACCGGCUAACUACGUG
RNAcentral lists this ribosomal RNA (465 nucleotides) under uncultured bacterium. RNAcentral's name for it is "partial 16S ribosomal RNA". It matches the Rfam family "Bacterial small subunit ribosomal RNA", at positions 28 to 507 of the family's 1533-position model. The record is from RNAcentral.